AUGGAGGCUGCGGUGCGGAAGAUGCAGCAGAGGGUGAGGAAGGCACGGGAGGAGACGGAGCGAUGGGAUGACCUCAAUUCCCGCCUCCUGUCCCACUUCUCCAAUGCCGCCGCCAUCAUCACCCGCCUUCCAGUACUUGGAGAUGCUAAAAAUUAUGGUGUCCUGCGGUGUGUGCCCAAUUUCAGGGAGGAUCUCUUGGGGGUGCAGAUGGAGAGCUUGGAGCUCAUAUUUGUUUCAAUGAGGGAGGCUCUGGAGGAGUUCAGUGGCAUUGCCAAAGGUUUGAGCAAGGUACUACGCGAUACUAAUCAGAUGGUGAGGGGUGGAUUGGCAUUCAAUGCGAAACAGUUGCAAUUACAAGUGGGAAUUUUGCCAACUAUUGCGGAUUGCUUGGGUGGGCUACAAACGCUGUCUGAUAUGCACCAGGCUGAGUAUGCGCUAAAAUCAUCAAUCAUCUCUUUGUUGACAUGGAAAAGCAGUUCAAGUGAAAUCGCUGCAAUGCGUCAACUCUUGGUAGACCAACCAAACAUACCGAAAGAUGAAGUGCAAUCUAUUUUCGACAUUAUAUUUGCGGAUGAAAUUUGUUAA
RNAcentral lists this ribosomal RNA (585 nucleotides) under Triticum aestivum (bread wheat). Its description in RNAcentral is "partial small subunit ribosomal RNA". Lineage: Eukaryota; Viridiplantae; Streptophyta; Magnoliopsida; Poales; Poaceae. The record is from RNAcentral.